UCUUCAUCACUGAUCUCACACUAUCCAAGCGACUUGUAUGUAUAUAGCCAUCUGACCCAAGGAUCGAUAUCAAACAUGACUUUUGGAAGAUUCUGAGAUCAAGCAAUAAUGAGAUAAAGGAAGUAGUAUGGAGUUGUGAGAGGGAAACAAAAGCCCUGACCCUACUGGCUUCAAUAUUUCCUUUUAAUAAUUACUAAAGUACUCUAAAAGUUGAGGUGUAUGAAUUCAUGGAGGAGUUUUACAUGCUAUUGAGCUAGAGUUCCCUAAAGCUAGAUUUACAAAGGUGCGCUGAUGGGAGUCAUCUCUAAAUGUCAUAAACUUUUCUUCCAAAACAAAUAUUAGAUGGUAAGUCCAUACUGAAUGAACUGGUUGAUUCUGCAAAGAAUUAUAUAUUGUUU
This is a non-coding RNA of Cajanus cajan (pigeon pea), 398 nucleotides long. NCBI's taxonomy places the organism in Eukaryota, Viridiplantae, Streptophyta, Magnoliopsida, Fabales, Fabaceae. The record is from RefSeq and is a predicted model, not a curated record.